Long non-coding RNA from Bos taurus (domestic cattle), 748 nucleotides. The record is from Ensembl. NCBI's taxonomy places the organism in Eukaryota, Metazoa, Chordata, Mammalia, Artiodactyla, Bovidae.
AACUUGCCUGUGUGAACUUUAUAUAAAUUUAAUCAUACUGUUGGAGAAGGCACUGGCAACCCACUCCAGUACUCUUGCCUGGAAAAUCCCAUGGACAGAGGAGCCUGGUAGGCUGCAGUCCAUGGGGUCGCUAAGAGUCAGACACGACUGAGCGACUUCACUUUCACUUUUCACUUUCAUGCAUUGGAGAAGGAAAUGGCAACCCACUUCAGUGUUCUUGCCUGGAGAAUCCCAGGGACAGUGGAGCCUGGUAGGCUGCCGUCUAUGGGCAGAUGCACAGAGUCGGACACCACUGACGCGACUUAGCAGCAGCAGCAAUCAUACUUAGGACAUGAAGAUUUCCAUGCUCCUUACCUUUGCCAGUGGUAGCAGUUGAUUGCCUUUGUCAUGUGUGGGUGUUAAAACAGCCAAGUAUGUGGGAGCUUCAUUUCAUGCCGCUCUUCUUGCACUCUAUUGUGCUAAAACAGCAAGCUUGUCAAGAAUGGAGACGUUGCCGUGAUAUAUGCAGAGUCUAUGGGAGACAUUUUCUCUAUGGGUUAACGAGGAUUGAAGAAACGCUUCCUUUGAAUGGCUUUCAAUCCAGUCAAAUCUGGCACAUUUGUUGUGAUCAACUCAUGCACUCUGUGCAGUUCAAUACCCAGUACCCAUGUGAUUACCUAUCCAUCAGAAAACUCCCUCUUCUUUAAAGAUUUCAAUGUGUAUUUGAGUUAGAAAAGCAAAAAUAAAAUAAGAUUAAGAGAAAACUAAA